UACGUAGGGUGCAAGCGUUAAUCGGAAUUACUGGGCGUAAAGCGUGCGCAGGCGGUUUUGUAAGUCUGUCGUGAAAUCCCCGGGCUCAACCUGGGAAUUGCGAUGGAGACUGCAAGGCUAGAAUCUGGCAGAGGGGGGUAGAAUUCCACGUGUAGCAGUGAAAUGCGUAGAGAUGUGGAGGAACUCCGAUGGCGAAGGCAGCCCCCUGGGUCAAGAUUGACGCUCAUGCACGAAAGCGUGGGGAGCAAACAGG
This 253-nucleotide ribosomal RNA is filed under the name uncultured bacterium. RNAcentral describes it as "partial 16S ribosomal RNA". It matches the Rfam family "Bacterial small subunit ribosomal RNA", at positions 524 to 776 of the family's 1533-position model. The record is from RNAcentral.